RNAcentral lists this ribosomal RNA (253 nucleotides) under uncultured bacterium. RNAcentral describes it as "partial 16S ribosomal RNA". It matches the Rfam family "Bacterial small subunit ribosomal RNA", at positions 524 to 776 of the family's 1533-position model. The record is from RNAcentral.
UACGUAGGGAGCAAGCGUUGUCCGGAAUCAUUGGGCGUAAAGAGCGUGUAGGCGGUCCGGUAAGUCGGCUGUGAAAGUCCAGGGCUCAACCCUGGGAUGCCGGUCGAUACUGCCGGACUAGAGUUCGGAAGAGGCGAGUGGAAUUCCCGGUGUAGCGGUGAAAUGCGCAGAUAUCGGGAGGAACACCUAUGGCGAAGGCAGCUCGCUGGGACGUUACUGACACUGAGGCGCGAAAGCGUGGGGAGCGAACAGG